Molecule: non-coding RNA, 241 nt
Organism: Pelobates cultripes (western spadefoot toad)
Lineage: Eukaryota; Metazoa; Chordata; Amphibia; Anura; Pelobatidae
Source: the annotation of a GenBank genome assembly
AACAAGGUGUACAAUCCCUGUGACAUCAAUGAUAUGUUGGCGGACUACUAUGAUGCAUUAUACAAUCUAAAAAAAGACGAACAUACACACCAACCACUUACCUCGGACAUCAGCACUUUUCUAGCAGUAACCCACAUAACACAACUUACACAAGCAGACAGGUCCCUCUUGGAAGAACCCAUUACUCAGAAUGAAAUAACAAACACCAUUAAAGCACUCCCAAAGGGAAAAUCUCCUGGCC